GAAAUUAAUAUGGCUGCGCCCAUGUAGUGAAAAAUAUGAACCUGCCAAAACUAACACAGUCAAUACAUGGUAUAUCUUCAAUAUUUUCACAUCAAAUAUGAAAUUUGAGAAACAUUUGAAAGCACCACAGAAUGUACUUGAUGACAUACAUGCACCAUGUAGGUGUACACUUGCAUCUUGACUCUGAGUGCACAAAUGCAUUCUAAUUUCAAACAAGUAAUAGCUUUUCUAAAAAGCUAGCCGUCUCUUAGCUUCAGGAUGAAAGUAGAAAGUGUUAAAAUUCAUAAAGGCUAAUACAAUUUUUUCCUAAUUUACUAAUGUUUUUUUGGAGAUUAAUAUACCAACACUGGAUUAGAAAGGGUGAUGCCUUAACUGUUUUUUUUUUAAUUAAAUAUGAAAAUAUUUAUAAAAGUAUAUUUUAAACAUGGCUCUGGGAUAAUUAUUUUGUUUUUGCCAGUAUUUCUACUCUACGUAUAGCAGUAUAAUUGUAGAUUUAAUAUUAAUGCAUACACAUAUUACACACUCGUUAAUGUCUUACUUGAAAUACUUGUAUGCAAUUGCAUUAAAAAGCUAUAAAAAAAAGCACAUAAAUGUUCAGUGUGUAUCUAUAUAUAUGUCUGACAUGAUGACUCACCUAUCACACAUAAGAAACAAAGUGAAAUGUAGUUUUUUAAAUACAAUGUAUUAGUAGAAAUUGACAGUAGAGUUCUAGUUAAUCUAUAUUAAUUAAUAUUGACAACACUACAUGUAGUUUUAUUAUGGAUUUUUGUAUAAUUUCAGGUUCUGAAAAAAUCACAGGGAUGAUAAAUUUAGACAAGAAGGAUCGACCACCAACAUGCUACACUUACUGGAACUUGAAAAACCUGCAAUUCACAAGAACAAGCCAAAGACUAGUAUUACCGUACAAAGUGGUUGAGGGUAUGGUCCCAGCUAUCCAAACCUGACAAAUUAUUGGUAACAAGCAAUCUUUACCAAAAAGGAACAUCAAGCCGACACGCUUUGCAGACUUUGAAAGUGAUAAUUUAUAAAUUUGGUUAAGGCUAUUGAAACAACAAACUGUGAAAACGAGCAAUUUAAAAACACAUUCUUUGUCAAAACUGUGAUUCAUUGAAAGAAGACGUAGUGUGCGCCAAGUCAGUUGAGAGCUUUAAAACAGCUCACCAAGGCCGUCAAUAGGAGUCCGCUCUCCCGUCAAGUUCAAGCCAGAAUUGGGACCUUCGAUGUAACAAUGCAGAUACAUAUAGCAUGAAAAGUUUUAUAUAAUGAACAUUUAUAUUUAUAUCUAUUGAUGUUUCAGUACAAGUAUGAUUAUUUGUUUUUGUUGUGAUCUAUGACAUACAUGUAUAGUAUAAACAAUUUUGAGAAACUCAGAGAAAGUGUUAUCUGUAUACAUGACAGUUCCGUGAAAAUGUUAACCAACUUUUGUGUCAACUUAUUCAUUCAUCUAAAAACUGAUACAAGCCAAUAUUAGAAUUCAAUAGAUUAAGACUAUAAAAUCAGUUUUGACCUAGGCCUGUUCAAGUUUAUUAAGGUCAAAAUAAGAUAAAACAAAGUUUCAUAAUAUAAAAUAUCAAUGUAGGAGCAAACGGUGAAAAUGAUUUAGAUCCUAGUGCAAUAUGAGAUGGGUGACAUGUAUUUAGAUCCUGGUGCUCUAGAGGGGUGACAUUGAGUUGGAUCUGUUUGCUCAAACUAAAAUUUACAGUGCUUUAAAAAAUGAUAAGUGAUCAUGCUUUAUAAAGUUAUAAACUGUUAGGUACAAUCUGUAUACUUACUUCCUGACAAUUUUAUUUUUACUUCUAAGUGUUUUAAAAUGUAAAAUUUGAAGCAGUAAGACAUAAAAUAACUGAUAAGUCUUACUUUGUUCUUUUUUUUUAAAAUAAUAUUUUGAGGGAGAGUUUAUUCAUUUUGGUUUUGCAAGGAGAGCUGAUUGAUUUAAACAGGGGCCGUGCAAUAACUAGAUGGGUUAUUUUAUUAAACUGACGUUUUAAAUUUUUUUCAUCGAAAUAACUUUAGAAUUGUAAACUGAAUAUUCUAAAUACAUGUAUGAAAUAUUGUUAAUAUUGAUUAGGGUACAGCUUAUUAAUGGUUUUGAAACAUGAAUUUAAAUGGUUACUUUGAAGUAAAUUGAGAACAUGUUACCUAUUUGUUUGUUGUUGGUUGGACACCUUUUUCUAUACUUGAAAUUAACUACUUUGUAUUGUCUACUAAAAUGUAUUUUACAGUUCUGAUGUUAUGCAUCUUAUGUAAAUAAAAUAUGUAGGAUUU
RNAcentral lists this long non-coding RNA (2265 nucleotides) under Mytilus galloprovincialis (Mediterranean mussel). Lineage: Eukaryota; Metazoa; Mollusca; Bivalvia; Mytilida; Mytilidae. The record is from RNAcentral.